CCUACGGGAGGCAGCAGUGAGGAAUAUUGGUCAAUGGGCUUACGCCUGAACCAGCCAAGUCGCGUGAGGGAAGACUGCCCUAUGGGUUGUAAACCUCUUUUGUCAGGGAGCAACGCCGGCUACGUGUAGCCGGACUUGGAGUACCUGAAGAAAAAGCAUCGGCUAACUCCUUGCCAGCAGCCGCGGUAAUACGGAGGAUGCGAGCGUUAUCCGGAUUUAUUGGGUUUAAAGGGUGCGUAGGUUGUUUUUUAAGUCAGCGGUGAAAGUUUGUUGCUCAACCAUAAAAUUGCCGUUGAAACUGGAAGACUUGAGUGUGUUUGAGGUAGGCGGAAUGCGUGGUGUAGCGGUGAAAUGCAUAGAUAUCACGCAGAACUCCGAUUGCGAAGGCAGCUUACUAAGCCAUAACUGACACUGAAGCACGAAAGCGUGGGGAUCAAACAGGAUUAGAUACCCCAGUAGUC
This 461-nucleotide ribosomal RNA is filed under the name uncultured bacterium. RNAcentral describes it as "partial 16S ribosomal RNA". It matches the Rfam family "Bacterial small subunit ribosomal RNA", at positions 338 to 795 of the family's 1533-position model. The record is from RNAcentral.